Molecule: long non-coding RNA, 173 nt
Organism: Microtus oregoni (creeping vole)
Lineage: Eukaryota; Metazoa; Chordata; Mammalia; Rodentia; Cricetidae
Exons: 3
Source: RefSeq, a predicted model, not a curated record
GCGGCGGCGUGUUCCAAGGACCUGCGUGGAGGGAGUCACAGGACCACGCCUGGAGCUGUCCGCAGUGCUGAAAGCGGAGGCAGCCCUCCCUCCUGCGAGAAGACGCCUAACUAGCUGUGACAGAACCAUUCAGAAUUCUCUUAGUCUGAUUGCCCUGCCUAUACUUCCUGCCU